Long non-coding RNA from Brassica oleracea var. oleracea, 945 nucleotides. RefSeq lists it as uncharacterized. Lineage: Eukaryota; Viridiplantae; Streptophyta; Magnoliopsida; Brassicales; Brassicaceae. The record is from RefSeq and is a predicted model, not a curated record. The transcript has 4 exons.
CUCUUCUUCUUCUUCCCUCUUUACUGUGAUAAUAAUGGCUACUGCAUCCAACUCGGUACUCUUCCUGAGCUCUGACUCACUGAGUCAUCAUCACAACCAUACCAGAACCCACCUCCAGAUCCCAUUCCGUUUCUCUCACACCCACCAAGCAAUCGAAAUCCCUCUCGCUUCGUUGCUCCAACAAUGGCGAUAACAUCUCAUCCCCAAAAGACACCCCAAUCGAACUCACGUUUCCAACGGUCAUGGACAUUAACCAGAUCAGAGAGAUACUGCCUCACAGGUUCCCCUUUCUGCUGGUGGAUAGAGUGAUUGAGUAUACACACCUGGCGUUUCAGCUGUAGCUUAUCAAGAACGUCACUAUCAAUGACAACUUCUUCCCUGGUCAUUUCCCUGAUCGACCCAUCAUGCAUUGAGCCGGAAGUAGGAGGGUCUCAGGAUAAUAACUUCUUCUUUGCUGGUAUUGAUAAAGUGAGGUUCCGCAAGCCUGUGAUUGCUGGAGACACGUUGGUGAUGAGGAUGACUCUUGUCAAGUUCCAGAAACGGUUCGGGCUUGCUAAGAUGGAAGGUAAAGCUUAUGUGGGUCUGCGAGGGAGAGUUCAUGAUGGCAGUUCUUGAUCUCUCACUUGCUAUAUAUGUCUGUUUCUUCUUAUGCUUCUUUUUACCCUUUUUGUGAUUCUUUAUUCAUGUCUUCUUUAUUGAAUGAAUCUUCAGACACAUUGAAAUAGAGCAAGCUGUGACUAUAGAAAUCCAUUUUAAUAGAUCAUAACACAAGGAGGGACAAACAUAGUUACUCUCAAAUCUAUUACACAUUUGAUCCAAAAGCUUAGCUUAAUCUUCUCACAAAUUAAACAGCUCAGAUCAUAUUAUCACACAAAUUAAACUUAAGCUUCUUGAUAUGCCUCUCUCUUCCGCAAUUCAAAUUAUUUAUAAACUAAAACAAUGAAG